CUGAAAAUUUGUUUUUUGGAAAUAAAAGUAUGUGAUUAGGAAGCGGCCAGACAACCGUAGAGAUGGUAUCCACAGAUGAUGGGUUAAUCAAUCCCGCUUGUCUAUUGAUCCCGCUUGUCUAUUGAUUCCAUCUCACAUUU
Molecule: small nucleolar RNA, 140 nt
Organism: Pistacia vera
Lineage: Eukaryota; Viridiplantae; Streptophyta; Magnoliopsida; Sapindales; Anacardiaceae
Product: small nucleolar RNA snoR143
Exons: 1
Source: RefSeq, a predicted model, not a curated record